RNAcentral lists this ribosomal RNA (552 nucleotides) under uncultured archaeon. Its description in RNAcentral is "bacterial SSU rRNA". It matches the Rfam family "Archaeal small subunit ribosomal RNA", at positions 326 to 879 of the family's 1478-position model. The record is from RNAcentral.
CGGGGUGCGCAGGCGCGAAACCUUUACACGCUUGAAAGUGUGAUAGGGGGAUACUCAGUGCUUACGACUCUGUUGUAGGCUUUUGUCGAUCGUAAAUAGAUCGGCGAAUAAGUGGUGGGUAAGACCGGUGCCAGCCGCCGCGGUAACCCCGGCGCCACAAGUGGUCAUCGCGAUUAUUGGGCCUAAAGCGUUCGUAGCCGGUUUGGUAAAUCUCUUGUGAAAUUGUUCGGCUUAACCGGACAGCGUGCAGGAGACACUGCCAAUCUCGAGACCGGGAGGCGUAAGAAGUAUGUCAUGGGGACUGGUAAAAUGGGAUAAUCCAUGAUAGACUACCGAUGGCGAAGGCAUCUUACGAGAACGGAUCUGACGGUGAGGAACGAAAGCCAGGGGAGCGAACCGGAUUAGAUACCCGAGUAGUCCUGGCCGUAAACGCUGUGAGCUAGGUGCUGCGUAUCUCAUGAAGAUGCGCGGUGUCGAAAUGAAGAUGCUAAGCUCACCGCCUGGGAAGUACGGUCGCAAGACUGAAACUUUAAGGAAUUGGCGGGGGAGCAC